GGGGGGCCCGCACAAGCGGUGGAGCAUGUGGUUUUAAUUCGAUGCAACGCGAAGAACCUUACCUACUCUUGACAUCCAGAGAACUUUCCAGAGAUGGAUUGGUGCCUUCGGGAACUCUGAGACAGGCGCUGCAUGGCUGUCGUCAGCUCGUGUUGCGAAAUGUUGGGUUAAGUCCCGCAACGAGCGCAACCCUUAUCCUUUGUUGCCAGCGGUCCGGCCGGGAACUCAAAGGAGACUGCCAGUGAUAAACUGGAGGAAGGUGGGGAUGACGUCAAGUCAUCAUGGCCCUUACGAGUAGGGCUACACACGUGCUACAAUGGCGCAUACAAAGAGAAGCGAACUCGCGAGAGCAAGCGGACCUCAUAAAGUGCGUCGUAGUCCGGAUUGGAGUCUGCAACUCGACUCCAUGAAGUCGGAAUCGCUAGUAAUCGUAGAUCAGAAUGCUACGGUGAAUACGUUCCCGGGCCUUGUACACACCGCCCGUCACACCAUGGGAGUGGGUUGCAAAAGAAGUAGGUAGCUUAACCUUCGGGAGGGCGCUUACCACUUUGUGAUUCAUGACUGGGGUGAAGUCGUAACAAGGU
Molecule: ribosomal RNA, 584 nt
Filed under: uncultured Enterobacter sp.
Lineage: Bacteria; Pseudomonadati; Pseudomonadota; Gammaproteobacteria; Enterobacterales; Enterobacteriaceae
Description: bacterial SSU rRNA
Rfam family: Bacterial small subunit ribosomal RNA
Source: RNAcentral